Long non-coding RNA from Zophobas morio, 517 nucleotides. RefSeq lists it as uncharacterized. The record is from RefSeq and is a predicted model, not a curated record. The transcript is spliced from 4 exons. NCBI's taxonomy places the organism in Eukaryota, Metazoa, Arthropoda, Insecta, Coleoptera, Tenebrionidae.
CGAAGCACGGUGCAUAGCCUCAAAAAUUAGUGCAGCACCUCACGAAAUUUAAAUUCAAUUUGCAGAUUAUUCAGAUUACAGACAGUGGAACUGUGUCUGUAGCUGCAAAGCAGGAGCAGGAGGGAAAUGUAAGCACAUAGUUGCCACCCUACUGUAUGUUUACAAUGCUCAGAAUAUAGGCCUUCUUAGUUGCACCGAUGUUCCCCAGACAUGGGGCAAACGGAAGCGGGAAGAACUAGUAGAAGUUGUUCCUGUGGAACAAUUUUGCCAUGUUAAGUCAUCGGAGCAUUCCAAAUGUGAUAUGGCAGGAAUUAUUCCAGAAGAUUUCGUACAAAAGUGCUUUGAAGUUCUCCCGAAUUCUGGAGCUGCCAUGCUGUUCAAGGAGACUAUUAAUCCUGAAGAUAGGUCUAGGUUGUAUCAAAUAAUUGUUAUAAAUGGCAUCAUCAAGCCUUAGCAAUUGUUAAUGAUAUAAACACAUCUUUAUUUAAAAGUUUUUGCAGCUGCUGUUUUUUUCUCU